GAUGAACGCUGGCGGCGUGCCUAAUACAUGCAAGUCGAGCGAACAGACGAGGAGCUUGCUCCUCUGACGUUAGCGGCGGACGGGUGAGUAACACGUGGAUAACCUACCUAUAAGACUGGGAUAACUUCGGGAAACCGGAGCUAACCCGGUAGAAUCUAUUGACCCACUGGGUGCAUUGGAAAAGUACGGUUUUUGGGUACUUAUUGGCGGGUUCUCGGCGUAUUGGUUGGGUGGUUGGGUAACGGGUUUCCAAGGCAAAGAGGGGUUGACGAACGGAGUGGGUGAUCGGCCGCACUGGAACGGGGACACGGACCAGACUCCUACGGGAGGCAGCAGUAGGGAAUCUGCCGCAAUGGGCGAAAGCAUGACGGAGCAACGCCGCGUGAGUGAUGAAGGUCUUCGGAUCGUAAAACUCUGUUAUGAGGGAAGAACAAAUGUGUAAGUAACUAUGCACGUCUUGACGGUACCUAAUCAGAAAGCCACGGCUAACUACGUG
Molecule: ribosomal RNA, 496 nt
Filed under: uncultured bacterium
Lineage: Bacteria
Description: partial 16S ribosomal RNA
Rfam family: Bacterial small subunit ribosomal RNA
Source: RNAcentral